UUAUCUAGCAAUGAGGAUAAAUGUUUAUCCCAGCUCAUUACGAGACCUCUUCCAGGUCUGGGAGUAGACUUGUUUCCAACAUUUAUCUGAGCUGAAAU
This is a non-coding RNA of Punica granatum (pomegranate), 98 nucleotides long. The record is from Rfam. Lineage: Eukaryota; Viridiplantae; Streptophyta; Magnoliopsida; Myrtales; Lythraceae.